RNAcentral lists this ribosomal RNA (467 nucleotides) under uncultured bacterium. RNAcentral describes it as "partial 16S ribosomal RNA". It matches the Rfam family "Bacterial small subunit ribosomal RNA", at positions 29 to 507 of the family's 1533-position model. The record is from RNAcentral.
ACGAACGCUGGCGGCGUGCUUAACACAUGCCAGUCGAACGGAAAGGCCCUGCUUUUGUGGGGUGCUCGAGUGGCGAACGGGUGAGUAACACGUGAGUAACCUGCCCUUGACUUUGGGAUAACUUCAGGAAACUGGGGCUAAUACCGGAUAGGAGCUCCUGCCGCAUGGUGGGGGUUGGAAAGUUUCGGCGGUUGGGGAUGGACUCGCGGCUUAUCAGCUUGUUGGUGGGGUAGUGGCUUACCAAGGCUUUGACGGGUAGCCGGCCUGAGAGGGUGACCGGCCACAUUGGGACUGAGAUACGGCCCAGACUCCUACGGGAGGCAGCAGUGGGGAAUAUUGCACAAUGGGCGGAAGCCUGAUGCGGCAACGCCGCGUGCGGGAUGACGGCCUUCGGGUUGUAAACCGCUUUCGCCUGUGACGAAGCGUGAGUGACGGUAAUGGGUAAAGAAGCACCGGCUAACUACGUG